Non-coding RNA from Cricetulus griseus (Chinese hamster), 47 nucleotides. NCBI's taxonomy places the organism in Eukaryota, Metazoa, Chordata, Mammalia, Rodentia, Cricetidae. The record is from Rfam.
CCAAAGGCUCUUUUCAGAGCCACCCCAAUGGUCCUUUUGGAAGGGCU